AAGUCGUAACAAGGUAACCGUAGGUGAACCUGCGGUUGGAUCAUUAACAAUAAGGAGUUGAAACUCUGCUGGAUUUAUCCAGUCAACCUGUGUGCACUGUAAUCGACUGGUGGGCAGCUUCUUCAAUGACUGCCCAACCAACUUAAAAAAACUUUAAACUUGACUGAAUCUGAGACAAUGAGAUACAACUUUUGACAACGGAUCUCUUGGCUCUC
RNAcentral lists this unclassified non-coding RNA (215 nucleotides) under fungal sp. RNAcentral describes it as "partial internal transcribed spacer region". The stretch from base 1 to 46 matches the Rfam family "Eukaryotic small subunit ribosomal RNA", at positions 1786 to 1831 of the family's 1831-position model. Lineage: Eukaryota; Fungi. The record is from RNAcentral.